RNAcentral lists this ribosomal RNA (433 nucleotides) under uncultured bacterium. RNAcentral describes it as "partial 16S ribosomal RNA". It matches the Rfam family "Bacterial small subunit ribosomal RNA", at positions 29 to 507 of the family's 1533-position model. The record is from RNAcentral.
AACGAACGCUGGCGGCAUGCCUAACACAUGCAAGUCGAACGAGACCUCCGGGUCUAGUGGCGCACGGGUGCGUAACGCGUGGGAACCUGCCCUUAGGUUCGGAAUACCUCCCCGAAAGGGGUGCUAAUACCGGAUAAUGUCUUCGGACCAAAGAUUUAUCGCCGUUGGAUGGGCCCGCGUUGGAUUAGCUAGUUGGUAGGGUAAAAGCCUACCAAGGCGACGAUCCAUAGCUGGUCUGAGAGGAUGAUCAGCAACACUGGGACUGAGACACGGCCCAGAAUCCUACGGGAGGCAGCAGUGGGGAAUAUUGGACAAUGGGCGAAAGCCUGAUCCAGCAAUGCCGCGUGAGUGAUGAAGGCCUUAGGGUUGUAAAGCUCUUUUAACCGGGAUGAUAAUGACAGUACCGGGAGAAUAAGCUCCGGCUAACUCCGUG